Long non-coding RNA from Vigna unguiculata (cowpea), 1006 nucleotides. Lineage: Eukaryota; Viridiplantae; Streptophyta; Magnoliopsida; Fabales; Fabaceae. The record is from RefSeq and is a predicted model, not a curated record.
UAUGCGGGUUCGAGCCGGGUUUGAGUGAGCUGACCCACCAACCCACUUAACUUAAUAAAAUUAAUUAUUUUAAUAUUAGGUUACAGAACUGGAAUCCCUAAAUUGAAUUGGAAUUCAAAAUCCCUAAUUGCAAUCCUCUUCUUCGAUACACAUCCACGACAGACGAAUCAAAAUCACUGAGCUCCUUUCCCUUCCCUCUGAAUCACGAUCACGGUAAUGGUGGUGCCUCCAUUUGGUGGUGGUCGUCUGGUCUGAGGCGUGGUGGUCGUUCGUCGUGUGUCUACGGCGUGGUGGUCGUUCGUCGUGUGUCUACGGCGUGGUGGUCGUUCAUCGUGUGUCUACGACGUGGUGGUCGUUCGUCGUCUGCGGCAAAACGGUGUAUUCACACCCCAUAGGUUUGAGCGAUCUGCACCUGUAUUCACACGUCCUCUGCAGAUUCUGAGUUUCCAACCCUAAGACGUUUGUUUGACUGUCGUCUAGUCUGUGCGUGCUCAUUGGUGGUCUGAGUGGUCUACGACGAUGCUAGAGUCGACGUUGGUGGCCAUUUGUUAGUGUUGUGCACUGGUCUGCGACGACGAGGUGCUUUUUUGGUGUUUUCCUCCUCUACAAUCAUCCCCUGCCUGCUGCAAUCAUUGUCUGCUGCAAAUAGCAUGGAAUCUGAAACUAUUAAUCGAAGUGUGAAUGUGAAUGUUAAUGUUGAUGAUAAUAUACAUAAUCAAAUUGCUAAUGACCCACAAGAACCACCUUCUGUAAACAAUGAAGACAGUGAAGUUCAAAAAGAAACUAAGAAAGCUAAGACAACUACCUCUGAAGUUUGGAAAUAUUUUUCUAAAGUUGGAGUAAAAGAUGGUAAAGAGAAGGCCAAAUGUAAUGCAUGUGGGCAAGAAUAUGUUAUUGGUGGUACUAAAAUAGGCACUUCAACACUGUUGCGUCAUUUAAAAAAAUGCAAUGUUAGCCCAAAAUAUAAAGAUGUAGGGGGAAUGAUAAUUGAUAAUAUGGGAAAGUU